Molecule: long non-coding RNA, 1395 nt
Organism: Phyllostomus discolor (pale spear-nosed bat)
Lineage: Eukaryota; Metazoa; Chordata; Mammalia; Chiroptera; Phyllostomidae
Exons: 2
Source: RefSeq, a predicted model, not a curated record
UUCAGACUGAAAUGUGUAACAGGGAGUGACAGGUGUUGAUUUAACUUGUGUAAGGAUCAUUCUGGCUGCUGGGUGGUAUUCUGGCUGGAGGGGGCGUGAGAGACACUAUUUCUCUUCAGUUAGUUUCAUGUAGUUUGGCAUUUAACAAACAUGAUUCAACUGGUGAGACAGCCAGCCACCCCAGAACUGGGAGGAGGUUAGUCCUGGUCCCGAGAGAGCCCCGAGGAGUGACUGCUUCCUGCAGACUGAGCUCUGCCCCAAGGGGAGACGGAGGGAACACAAGCACUUCCCUGGGGCGUGUCCUUGUAGUCAGGGAGACAGACAAACACAGGAACCUGUUUAACACCACUCAACCACAGACCAGGAACACCUGCAAUAGAGGGUAGGACGUGACGACUUAAGGGCAAAAGCCUGUGUGGAGGUUUGAACAGGGCGGGGUUAGUAAGAGAAGCUUCUGGAAGAGGUGAGUAAGGGAGAGGGGCGGGCCGACCUGGCCAGAGGGAAGGCAGGAGGGUGGGAGACCCAACCUGAGAGGACGCAAGUGCCCAGGUGCCAGCCUUCCCCAAGGUCCGCCUGCCCCAGCAGAGCUCCUGUGCCCCUCCUGUAAUGUCUUCUCUUUCCAGGCUAGUUUGGUGUCCACGGUAACCAGCUCUCUCCCUUGUAAAGCUGGCCAAGGUCGCCUCCGUGGCGCUGGCCCUUGGAUUGUGCCCUGGCAAGGCAAGUUUGGUUUGGGAGCGUGUCUGGUGGCUCCAGACCAGAAUUGCCCUAGGAAAGGGGUCAUCGGAGCUGGGGGCCUCCCCACCAAUGCCCCCUGGGGCCCAGGGUUGGAAGGGCCCUGCUCCAGCUGCUUUACCCAGGCUCAUACUGAAACAUGGCUUUUAAUUCUCUGAACAUCAACAGGUGCAAGUGGGGGCAGCUGGCCUGAGGGGAGAGAUUUCCCUCGGAUGCUCUCACUCUUGGAAACAAAUUCAAAGUCUUUUCCUCCUCUUGGAGCCACCGGCUCACCCUCAUCUCCAUUUUAUUACGAGCGUUUCUUUUCCUACUUUACUAAAAAGUUAUUUGGUUUUGAAUAGAUAAUGUAUGUACACAGUAUAAAAUUUAAAAGAGAAAAGAUAUGUGAUAACUAAGCAUCCCCCUCCUCCUGCUUCCCAGACUCCCAGUUCUCGCCCCCAGAGGCUACCACUGUGUUGGGAUCAGUAUAUUUUUUGUAUUCUUCUUGCGGUAGCCUGUACUUCAAAUGCCCACCUAGUGUACACUUUCUCCCCUUUGUACACAAUGGCAGAUACUGUAUAAAAUGUUUGUAAUUUUUCUCACUUUGCAGUGUAACUGUUGGCGAUGGCUCUGCAUCAGUAAUAAAAAGUGCCUCAGCUCUGUCUCACAGAUGCACCGUGCUCC